AUUACAUUCUAGAUACCCGUAUGUAAAAAUGUCUUUGCGACAGUCGUUAUGUAUGUGUGUUUACAUAUGAAACGAAAGUGGAAAUUCAUUUUAACCAAGUGGACAAUUGUUUUUUAAAGUUUAAAGAUCUACUGUUCGUUUUUAUUUGAUUCAAGUACAGUGGAUUUAAUACUUAGUAAAGAUCCUUGUCCAGUCAAUGUGAUCCUUGUCCAGUCAAUGUGAUCCUUGUCCAAGCAGUCAAUGUGAUCCUUGUCCAUGCAGUCAAUGUGAUCCUUGUCCAGUCAAGUUAUUAUAGUUCUGGCUGUCUAGUUUUAGCGAAGAAUCCAUCCUGAUGUUGGUAACAGGAAUUUCUGCAGAGUGAUUGUCAAUGACAUUUUGUGAACUUUACAAGUCUGGGAAAGUGCAAUAGAUGUUCUGGUGUUUGAUGGGAAAAGUCACACCCUGCUUGUAGAAUACAUUUGUACCUCAUAAAGGCUAUAAUGGGAAGAUGGAAUAGGAAACUUACUACAGCUGCUGGGAAGGGAGAUAUAGAAGCCUUAAAAUUAAGCCUACAGAAUGGUGCAGACAUUGAUUAUCGAGAUGUAAG
This is a long non-coding RNA of Mytilus trossulus (common blue mussel), 586 nucleotides long. RefSeq lists it as uncharacterized. The record is from RefSeq and is a predicted model, not a curated record. Lineage: Eukaryota; Metazoa; Mollusca; Bivalvia; Mytilida; Mytilidae. The transcript has 7 exons.